CUGAGGCUUACAUAAAGAGGUCCUUUCAUUUGGUUAAGACCUCCAACAGUAAAGGACUGACUGGGCAAAGAAUGUCCUCUCCUCUGCCUUGGAGGUGCAGUACUGAGCUGGCCCACAUUUA
This is a small nucleolar RNA of Mastomys coucha (southern multimammate mouse), 121 nucleotides long. RefSeq annotates it as small nucleolar RNA SNORA47. The transcript has a single exon. Lineage: Eukaryota; Metazoa; Chordata; Mammalia; Rodentia; Muridae. The record is from RefSeq and is a predicted model, not a curated record.